UGGGGAAUAUUGGACAAUGGGGGGAACCCUGAUCCAGCGACGCCGCGUGAGUGAAGAAGUUUUUCGGUAUGUAAAGCUCUAUCAGCAGGGAAGAAAAUGACGGUACCUGACUAAGAAGCCCCGGCUAACUACGUGCCAGCAGCCGCGGUAAUACGUAGGGGGCAAGCGUUAUCCGGAUUUACUGGGUGUAAAGGGAGCGCAGACGGUUUUGCAAGUCUGAAGUGAAAGCCCGAGGCUUAACCUCGGAGUUGCUUUGGAAACUGUAUAACUAGAGUAUCGGAGAGGUAAGUGGAAUUCCUAGUGUAGCGGUGAAAUGCGUAGAUAUUAGGAGGAACACCGGUGGCGAAGGCGGCUUACUGGACGAAAACUGACGUUGAGGCGCGAAGGCGUGGGGAGCAAACAGG
This 404-nucleotide ribosomal RNA is filed under the name Verrucomicrobiota bacterium. RNAcentral describes it as "Verrucomicrobia bacterium partial 16S ribosomal RNA". It matches the Rfam family "Bacterial small subunit ribosomal RNA", at positions 355 to 776 of the family's 1533-position model. The record is from RNAcentral. Lineage: Bacteria; Pseudomonadati; Verrucomicrobiota.